CUCGGGGGUGGGGGGUCCCUUAGCCCAGAUUGCGAGAGGGCACAGGCCAGGCCAAGGGACACCACCUGUGCAAG
RNAcentral lists this microRNA precursor (74 nucleotides) under Myotis davidii. Its description in RNAcentral is "mir-9193 microRNA precursor family". It matches the Rfam family "mir-9193 microRNA precursor family". The record is from Rfam by way of RNAcentral. Lineage: Eukaryota; Metazoa; Chordata; Mammalia; Chiroptera; Vespertilionidae.